CUUGGUCAUUUAGAGGAAGUAAAAGUCGUAACAAGGUUUCCGUAGGUGAACCUGCGGAAGGAUCAUUAUCGAGUUAGGGUCCUCCGGGCCCGACCUCCAACCCUUUGCCUACCUUACCUUUUGUUGCUUCGGCGGGCCCGUCCCCCCACUCUGGGGGUGACCGCCGGGGGGCUCUCGCCCUCUGGCCCGCGCCCGUCGGUGGCCCUUCAACCAAAACUCUUGUUGAAUCGUGUCGCCUGAGUAAAAAAAUUAAUAACCAAAAACUUUCAACAACGGAUCUCUUGGUUCUGGCAUCGAUGAAGAACGCAGCGAAAUGCGAUAAGUAAUGCGAAUUGCAGAAUCCGUGAGUCAUCGAAUCUUUGAACGCACAUUGCGCCCCUUGGUAUUCCGAAGGGCAUGCCUGUUCGAGCGUCAUUAUCACCCCUCAAGCCCCGGCUUGGUGUUGGACCGCGUUGUAGACAUUGCCUGCAACGGGCCUCAAAGACAAUGACGCCGUCCCAGAGGGACCCGGUACGAGGAGCUUCUAGUUAAGCAUGUACGCGGGAGGACUCUGCGGGCGACGGUCUUUUUUACUUAUUUUUCUUUUUUAAGUGUUGACCUCGGAUCAGGUAGGGAUACCCGCUGAACUUAAGCAUAUCAAUAAGCGGAGGA
This 651-nucleotide ribosomal RNA is filed under the name uncultured fungus. Its description in RNAcentral is "eukaryotic LSU rRNA". The stretch from base 262 to 414 matches the Rfam family "5.8S ribosomal RNA". The record is from RNAcentral. Lineage: Eukaryota; Fungi.